UUAAUUAUACUGAUUGACUACAUCUCUUAUUAAAUAUGGCAGACGAUAAUUUAUCAUCUGACCUAGAACAGGUCGAUUCUCCUCCUAAAGUACAUUCUCCUCAGCCAUUAAGAAAAAAACGAGCUAAAACAAAAAAUGUGACACUGCCACAACAGUCUGACAAUUUAUUAUCUGAUGACAUUAUUAAAGCAAUGAAUAAGAUGGAAACACGUAGACAUAAAGCUUUAGAGCGUCAAUUUGUCAAAGCCAAGUGUGCUGCACAAUCGGCUUCUAACAUAUAUCAUUCUGAAAUGUCUGUUAAUCAACAACCUAUUGAUGACAGUCAUCAGGUCAAUGAGGAAACUGUAGAAAUUCAGUCACAAGAUCCUAUGUUUAGAGAACCACAAGGUCAAUUUAUGAUAGAUAUGUCUAGAGGAAUUGCACCUCAAGGGCCUAUUUCUUCAGGUGUUUUUCCUAUUAUUAAUCCACUAAAUAAAGGUCCUCCUGAAGCCACUUUCACCCCAACUGCUGCUGGUCUUAGGGGGGAAGAUAUUCAAAGCAGUGGUCAGGAAGUGGAUUUCCAAACAAUGGUUACACAUGCGAUUUCUAAAAUAUUUCAAGCAGGUUUGCAACAAACCAACUAUUCUUGUCAUGCUGGUGCAGCUACCAGUAAUCAAUAUCAUUCUCAUUCUAUCCCUAAACAACAGUAUUUUAGCUGUGGGGAUGACACAGAUUUGGAAGAAUUUGAUUUAUCAGAUGAUGAGGAAGACAUGACUCCAGAAAAACCAGCAUUUCAAGGUCUUUUCAAACCAGCUUUAUUCAAAUCAUUAUUACAUAAAGCAAAAGUAGCUACUAAUAUGGGACUAAAUUUAGAUAAGUCAUCUGAUCCUAGUACUCAAAUGAAUCCAAAUGAGAAUUUGUUUAAAGUACCCAAGUCUGAUUUGGACUUUGUUCCGUGUCCAGAUUUAUUUUCACAAGUUAUUAAAAAACCUUGGGAUCAUCCCAGUUCAACUUCUGGCCCCAAUAAUUUUGAUAAAAAAUUAUAUUGCUCUCCACCAGACUUGGAUGAAUUGUUGCAAUUGCCAUUAGUAGAUGAACCGAUAGCAACACUUACGUCAUCUUCUGUGUUAGUCAGUGAAGUUGGAGAAGGACUUAAAGUUGAAGACAAAAGAGCUGAAAUGACGUGUCGCAAAACUCAUCAGGCUGCGGCAUGGGCAAUUAGAGCUGCAAUUUCGGCUUCAUUUUUUAACCGGGCCUCUCUUAUUUGGCUAAGACAAUUAAGAGAUAGAUUACCACCUGAAGAAUCUAGGAUUCAGCAAGACAUAUCUAAAAUUAUUGCAGCAGCAGAGUACUCUGCAGAUGCUUCAUUAGAUGCUGCGAAAUUCGCUUCCAGGGCAUUAGCAUCUUCUGUAACAUCAAGAAGAAUUCUUUGGUUAUGUCACUGGAAAGCUGAUUCACGGUCAAAAUGGAGGCUUGCAUCAGCUCCUUAUAAGGGCCAUUCUCUAUUUGGAGAGUCUUUGCAACAGGUUCUAGUAGAAGGCAGGGAUAAAAAGAAGAUUUUACCCUCUUUGUACAGAAGACCAGAACGCAGAUAUUCUCCUUUUCAACGACAUUUUUUUCGCUAUGAUCAAGGAAAUUCAAAUACCUACACACAACGUGGUAAUUUUCAACCAUACUAUUCUUCAUACUCGAGUAAUAGAAAUUCCUUUCGAGGAAGAGGCAGCCACCAAUCAUCUUUCAGAAGACCUUUUCGAGGAGCGAUGUCACGUCAAUCUCGUAGAGGCAAGUGACUCGAAUUCUUCCCUUCCCAUUGGGGGCAAACUUCAACUAUUUUGUCACCAAUGGGAGGAAUCAACAACGGAUGCAUGGAUCUUACGUACGGUGACCAGCGGCCUCACCUUGGAAUUCACCUCAAAUCCAUCGAACAGAUUCAUCCAAUGUCCAUGGUCAACUCAACCCUUACAACAAAAUCUGAUGAAUCUCGAGAUCAAGCACCUGAAACAAAUCAAAGCGAUCGAGGAGGUUCCAAAAGAUCAAAUUCAAACCGGGUUCUAUUCGAUCUUUUUUCUGGUGCCAAAAAACUCAGGGGGUUGGAGGGGAAUUCUGAAUUUGAGGCAGCUGAAUGUGAAUGUUUUAUACAGAAGAUUCAAAAUGCAUUCACUAAAGUCGAUUCUACAAUGUGUAAGACAACGAGAUCUCAUGCAAUCUAUAGACCUCAAAGAAGCAUAUUUACAUGUGCCCAUCCACCCAAGGCACAGACAAUACCUCAGAUUUGCAUAUGCGGACAGACACUUUCAGUACAGGGCAAUGCCUUUUGGCCUUUCUUCUGCACCAAGAACAUUCACGAAGUUGUUAGCGGCAGUGGCGGCCAAUCUCAGGUCAAUUCCAAUACGUCUAGUAUGUUAUCUGGACGACAUUUUGAUUUUGUCAACAUCAAAAGAUCAGGCAUGUCGGGACAGAGAAUUAGUCAUCCAAUCUUUACAAAAUCACGGUUUUACAAUCAACGUGGACAAAAGUCAUUUAUCACCAACAACUCGAUUGUUGCACCUAGGUGCAAUCAUAGAUUCAGAAUUGGGUUUAGUUUACCUGUCUCCAGACAGACAAAACAGCAUCAAGAGUUUAGUUAUGCAAGUAAUAUCGCAGAAGAAAACUGCUCUAUUAACACUGUCUCAACUUCUAGGCAAGCUAAUAUCUGCAAUUACAAUAGUACCAUGGGCUCGUUACCACACUCGCCAUCUACAGUGGUUUCUGUUACCUUUUCAAAGGCAAAGACGAGCGGAUUCUCUUCACAAAGUGGUGGUACCAACACGAGUAAAAAUAUCUCUAUGUUGGUGGAUAACAGAGGCAAUUCAGAAAGGUUCUCUGUUUCUACAAUCAGAACGAGUAACGUUAACAACGGAUGCAAGUCUUUAUGGAUGGGGUGCACAUCUCAAUUCCUUAAUAGUGCAGGGAAUUUGGUCUACGUCGGAGAAAAACCAACCAAUUAACUGGUUGGAAUUAAGAGCAGUGCGCCUGGCGUUAAUUCAUUUUCAACAACAUGUGACCAACAAGCAUGUCCUGAUUUUAAUGGACAAUAUGACAACAAAGGCACAUUUGAAUCGUCAGGGAGGAACAAAAUCAAAACCUCUAAUGGAAGAAACAGAUCGUCUCAUGUCUUGGGCGGAGAAACAUGUCUUAUCGAUAAAAGCAUAGCAUAUAUCAGGAGAAAUAAAUGUACAAGCAGACUGGCUAAGCCGGGGCAAAAUACACCAAUCAGAGUGGAUGUUAGAUCCCAAGCUGUUCAAACAGAUAUCUCUCAGGUUCGGUCGACCAAUAGUGGACCUAUUUGCUACAGCUCAAAACGCCCAGUUAGCAAGAUUUUUUUCUCGAUUUCCAACUCGAGCAGAAGGCCAAGAUGCUCUAAGAUCUCCUUGGCCGCAAGGGCUCCUGUAUGCAUUCCCUCCAGUUCCAAUAAUUCAGAGUGUAAUUCACAAAUUGAGGAAGGAAAGAGCAGACAUGAUAUUGAUAGCACCUUAUUGGCCUCGCAGACCAUGGUUUGCAGACCUCUUAGAUCUUUCAAUAGAAACUCCUUGGAGAAUUCCUCCAAAUCAGAUAGUACUACUUCAAGGAGAAAUAAGACAUCCAAAGCCAGACUGGUUACAAUUGACCGUCUGGCGCUUGAAAGGUCCAGAUUAACAAAAGAUCAUAUCCCUUCAGAAGUAAUUGCAACUAUUCAAGCAGCCAGAAGACCAUCUACUACGCGUAUUUACAAUGCGUCUUGGAAGGCAUUUGUAGAAUGGUGUAGUACAAGUCACGUAGAUCCUACAUCGGCAACAGUACUUGAGGUACUAUUAUUUCUUCAAUCUGGUUUAGACAAGGGUCUGGCUCCUUCAACAUUGAAGAGACAAGUAGCAGCAUUGGCUACAGUCAUAGAUGGACCAAGUAAGAAAUCUCUUUCACAAGAUAUGAGAAUUAAAUCCUUCCUAAGGGGAGCUAUGAAUUUAAGACCUCCUAUUGUUCACAGAUAUCCUUCAUGGGAUAUGAAUUUAGUACUACAAGCAUUAACAAAAAAACCAUUUGAACCACUGGCAUCUAUAAGUAUGAGAUAUCUAACUUUGAAAUUAGCUUUUCUAAUAGCAGUAACAUCUGCACGUAGAAUAUCAGAAAUAGCUGCUCUUUCAAUUAGGAAGGAUUUAUGUAUAUUUUAUACAGAUAGAGUAGUACUUAGAUUAGAUCCAUCCUUUAUACCAAAAAUUAACUCAUAUUUCCAUAGAGCUCAAGAAGUAAUUUUACCAAACUUUUGUCCAGAUCCUAAACAUCCUAGGGAAAAAAUGUGGCACACACUAGAUGUACGUAGAUCAUUAAGACGUUAUAUAAAAAGAACUGAAUCGUUUAGACAAACUGAAGCACUAUUUGUAUCAUACUUACCUUCUACAAUGGGUAAGAAAGUGUCUUCUAAUACAGUGGGGCGCUGGAUUAAAGCAUGCAUAUCUGUGGCAUAUAAUUCACAAGGGGAAAGUUUACCUGAAGAGUGUUACCACAUUCAACACGCAGUGCUGCAACUUCAGCUACCUGGGCUACACAGGCAUCUGUAGAUGAAAUAUGUAAGGCAGGCUACAUGGUCAUCUAUUUCAUCCUUUGUUAAACAUUACAGAUUAGAUUCUUUUGCAUCAGCUGAUGCGGCGUUCGGGAGAAGAGUUUUACAAUCAAUAAUCUCCCCACGAAGCCAGGACAAUGACAAGGAGUAAUUCCCACCCUAAUUUAUUAAGCUUGGGCAUAUCCCAGAACUGAGGAAUGUCGGUGCAACGAUGCAUGAAAAUGGAACAUUGGAUUACCUGAAUGUCCAUUUUAUGAUCGUUGCGACAACAUUCCGUCCCACCCUUGGCGUAUUGCCUGGUGGUCGUGGGGGGUAUCUUUCUUUUUUCACCUCUGCAGUUACAGUUCCGCUGAGUGUAUUCUUCAGAUCUGAUGGAGGUAGACUUCGUGAAAUGACUGAGCAUGCGCAGAAGGCGGAGGCGGAACCAUACUGCAGAGGGAGAUAAAUAUUUGACAAGCACUCAGUAAGACAAAUCGAAUGAGUGAAGGUCCCAGAACUGAGGAAUGUCGUCGCAACGAUCAUAAAAUGGACAUUCAGGGGCUGUAAAUUAUGUGAACUUCAAAGGAGAAGGGAAGUUGUAGAAACUUGAAAGAUAUAAAGUAGCUUUAGUCCAUUUAUUAAAGAAAGAGGAAGAAAUCACACUGAUUGUUGGUUCAUUU
Non-coding RNA from Pantherophis guttatus, 5214 nucleotides. Lineage: Eukaryota; Metazoa; Chordata; Lepidosauria; Squamata; Colubridae. The record is from RefSeq and is a predicted model, not a curated record.